GGCGCUGUAGCAAAGUGGUUACUGCGGCAGUUUAGAAAGCUGCUCCUCUUCGAGGGCGCAGGUUCGAAUCCUGCCGGCGUCG
This is a transfer RNA of Fomitiporia mediterranea MF3/22, 82 nucleotides long. It matches the Rfam family "tRNA". From Rfam's summary of the family: Transfer RNA (tRNA) molecules are approximately 80 nucleotides in length. Their secondary structure includes four short double-helical elements and three loops (D, anti-codon, and T loops). Lineage: Eukaryota; Fungi; Basidiomycota; Agaricomycetes; Hymenochaetales; Hymenochaetaceae. The record is from Rfam.